CACGUAGGGUGCGAGCGUUGUCCGGAAUUAUUGGGCGUAAAGAGCUCGUAGGCGGUGUGUCGCGUCGGCCGUGAAAACCUGCAGCUUAACUGUGGGCUUGCGGUCGAUACGGGCAUCACUGGAGUUCGGCAGGGGAGACUGGAAUUCCUGGUGUAGCGGUGAAAUGCGUAGAUAUUGGGAGGAACACCAGUGGCGAAGGCGGCUCACUGGACCGGAACUGACGCUGAGGCGCGAAAGCGUGGGGAGCAAACGGG
Molecule: ribosomal RNA, 254 nt
Filed under: uncultured bacterium
Lineage: Bacteria
Description: partial 16S ribosomal RNA
Rfam family: Bacterial small subunit ribosomal RNA
Source: RNAcentral